RNAcentral lists this signal recognition particle RNA (147 nucleotides) under Pan troglodytes (chimpanzee). RNAcentral's name for it is "Metazoan signal recognition particle RNA". It matches the Rfam family "Metazoan signal recognition particle RNA". From Rfam's summary of the family: The signal recognition particle (SRP) is a universally conserved ribonucleoprotein. Lineage: Eukaryota; Metazoa; Chordata; Mammalia; Primates; Hominidae. The record is from Rfam by way of RNAcentral.
GCUGGGCGUGGUGGCGCAUGCCUGUAAUCCGAGCUACUUUGGAGGCUGAGGCAGGAGAAUCACUUGAACCAGGGAGUCGGAGGUUGCAGUGAGCCGAGAUCGUGCCACUGCACUCCAGCCUGGUGACAGAGUGAGACUCUGUCUCAA